RNAcentral lists this ribosomal RNA (611 nucleotides) under uncultured Bacteroidota bacterium. RNAcentral describes it as "bacterial SSU rRNA". It matches the Rfam family "Bacterial small subunit ribosomal RNA", at positions 811 to 1423 of the family's 1533-position model. Lineage: Bacteria; Pseudomonadati; Bacteroidota. The record is from RNAcentral.
GCUCGCUUGGUGUGGGAGGAUUUUACCCCUUGUGUGCCGGAGCUAACGCGUUAAUCGAGCCGCCUGGGAAGUACGGGCGCAAGACUAAAACUUAAAGGAAUUGACGGGGGCCCGCACAAGCGGUGGAGCAUGUGGUUUAAUUCGAUGAUACCCGAGGAACCUUACCAGGGCUUAAAUGUAAGUUGCAUUAUCUAGAGAUAGCUAUUUCUUCGGACCACUUACAAGGUGCUGCAUGGUUGUCGUCAACUCGUGCCGUGAGGUGUCAGGUUAAGUCCUAUAGCGAGCGCAACCCCUGUUGUUAGUUGCCAUCGAGUCAUGUCGGGAACUCUAACAAGACUGCCAGUGCAAACUGUGAGGAAGGUGGGGAUGACGUCAAAUCAUCACGGCCCUUACGUCCUGGGCUACACACUUGCUACAAUGGUAGGUACAGAGAGCACCCACUGCUCGAGCAGGACCGAAUAUAUAAAACCUAUCACAGUUCGGAUCGGAGUCUGCAACUCGGCUCCGGGAAGCUGGAAUUGCUAGUAAUCGGAUAUCAGCCCUGAUCCGGUGAAUACGUUCCCGGGCCUUGUACACACCGUCCGUCUAGCCAUGGAAGUUGGAAGUGCCUG